RNAcentral lists this ribosomal RNA (498 nucleotides) under uncultured bacterium. Its description in RNAcentral is "partial 16S ribosomal RNA". It matches the Rfam family "Bacterial small subunit ribosomal RNA", at positions 30 to 523 of the family's 1533-position model. The record is from RNAcentral.
AUUGAACGCUGGCGGCAUGCCUUACACAUGCAAGUCGAACGGUAACAGGUCUUCGGAUGCUGACGAGUGGCGAACGGGUGAGUAAUACAUCGGAACGUGCCUAGUAGUGGGGGAUAACUACUCGAAAGAGUGGCUAAUACCGCAUGAGAUCUACGGAUGAAAGCAGGGGAUCGCAAGACCUUGUGCUACUAGAGCGGCCGAUGGCAGAUUAGGUAGUUGGUGGGAUAAAAGCCUACCAAGCCGACGAUCUGUAGCUGGUCUGAGAGGACGAUCAGCCACACUGGGACUGAGACACGGCCCAGACCCCUACGGGAGGCAGCAGUGGGGAAUUUUGGACAAUGGGCGAAAGCCUGAUCCAGCAAUGCCGCGUGCAGGAUGAAGGCCUUCGGGUUGUAAACUGCUUUUGUACGGAACGAAAAGCCCCGGGUUAAUACCCUGGGGUCAUGACGGUACCGUAAGAAUAAGCACCGGCUAACUACGUGCCAGCAGCCGCCGUAA